Molecule: ribosomal RNA, 100 nt
Filed under: uncultured bacterium
Lineage: Bacteria
Description: partial 16S ribosomal RNA
Source: RNAcentral
AUUGGUAAAAGCUCUGUUGCCGGGGAAAAAGGAAAGGAAAGGAGGAAAUGCUUUUCUUUGGAUGGUACCCCGGCCAGAAAGUCACGGCUAACUACGUGCC